UGACGAGGCACUGCGGUGCUGAAGCAACAAAUGCCCUGCUUCCAGGAAAAGCCUCUAAGCAUCAGGUAACAUCAAAUCGUACCCCAAACCGACACAGGUGGUCAGGUAGAGAAUACCAAGGCGCUUGAGAGAACUCGGGUGAAGGAACUAGGCAAAAUGGUGCCGUAACUUCGGGAGAAGGCACGCUGAUAUGUAGGUGAAGUCCCUCGCGGAUGGAGCUGAAAUCAGUCGAAGAUACCAGCUGGCUGCAACUGUUUAUUAAAAACACAGCACUGUGCAAACACGAAAGUGGACGUAUACGGUGUGACGCCUGCCCGGUGCCGGAAGGUUAAUUGAUGGGGUUAGCGCAAGCGAAGCUCUUGAUCGAAGCCCCGGUAAACGGCGGCCGUAACUAUAACGGUCCUAAGGUAGCGAAAUUCCUUGUCGGGUAAGUUCCGACCUGCACGAAUGGCGUAAUGAUGGCCAGGCUGUCUCCACCCGAGACUCAGUGAAAUUGAACUCGCUGUGAAGAUGCAGUGUACCCGCGGCAAGACGGAAAGACCCCGUGAACCUUUACUAUAGCUUGACACUGAACAUUGAGCCUUGAUGUGUAGGAUAGGUGGGAGGCUUUGAAGUGUGGACGCCAGUCUGCAUGGAGCCGACCUUGAAAUACCACCCUUUAAUGUUUGAUGUUCUAACGUUGACCCGUAAUCCGGGUUGCGGACAGUGUCUGGUGGGUAGUUUGACUGGGGCGGUCUCCUCCUAAAGAGUAACGGAGGAGCACGAAGGUUGGCUAAUCCUGGUCGGACAUCAGGAGGUUAGUGCAAUGGCAUAAGCCAGCUUGACUGCGAGCGUGACGGCGCGAGCAGGUGCGAAAGCAGGUCAUAGUGAUCCGGUGGUUCUGAAUGGAAGGGCCAUCGCUCAACGGAUAAAAGGUACUCCGGGGAUAACAGGCUGAUACCGCCCAAGAGUUCAUAUCGACGGCGGUGUUUGGCACCUCGAUGUCGGCUCAUCACAUCCUGGGGCUGAAGUAGGUCCCAAGGGUAUGGCUGUUCGCCAUUUAAAGUGGUACGCGAGCUGGGUUUAGAACGUCGUGAGACAGUUCGGUCCCUAUCUGCCGUGGGCGCUGGAGAACUGAGGGGGGCUGCUCCUAGUACGAGAGGACCGGAGUGGACGCAUCACUGGUGUUCGGGUUGUCAUGCCAAUGGCACUGCCCGGUAGCUAAAUGCGGAAGAGAUAAGUGCUGAAAGCAUCUAAGCACGAAACUUGCCCCGAGAUGAGUUCUCCCUGACUCCUUGAGAGUCCUGAAGGAACGUUGAAGACGACGACGUUGAUAGGCCGGGUGUGUAAGCGCAGCGAUGCGUUGAGCUAACCGGUACUAAUGAACCGUGAGG
Molecule: ribosomal RNA, 1373 nt
Filed under: Escherichia coli
Lineage: Bacteria; Pseudomonadati; Pseudomonadota; Gammaproteobacteria; Enterobacterales; Enterobacteriaceae
Description: partial 23S ribosomal RNA
Rfam family: Bacterial large subunit ribosomal RNA
Source: RNAcentral